GAUGAACGCUGGCGGCGUGCCUAAUACAUGCUAGUCGAGCGAACAGACGAGGAGCUUGCUCCUCUGACGUUAGCGGUGGACGGGUGAGUAACACGUGGAUAACCUACCUAUAAGACUGGGAUAACUUCGGGAAACCGGAGCUAAUACCGGAUAACAUGUUGAACCGCAUGGUUCAACAGUGAAAGACGGUCUUGCUGUCACUUAUAGAUGGAUCCGCGCCGCAUUAGCUAGUUGGUAAGGUAACGGCUUACCAAGGCAACGAUGCGUAGCCGACCUGAGAGGGUGAUCGGCCACACUGGAACUGAGACACGGUCCAGACUCCUACGGGAGGCAGCAGUAGGGAAUCUUCCGCAAUGGGCGAAAGCCUGACGGAGCAACGCCGCGUGAGUGAAGAAGGUCUUCGGAUCGUAAAACUCUGUUAUUAGGGAAGAACAAAUGUGUAAGUAACUAUGCACGUCUUGACGGUACCUAAUCAGAAAGCCACGGCUAACUACGUG
This 497-nucleotide ribosomal RNA is filed under the name uncultured bacterium. Its description in RNAcentral is "partial 16S ribosomal RNA". It matches the Rfam family "Bacterial small subunit ribosomal RNA", at positions 28 to 507 of the family's 1533-position model. The record is from RNAcentral.